GUCAUGGCUCAGGAUGAACGCUAGCGACAGGCUUAACACAUGCAAGUCGAGGGGCAGCGAGGGAGUGGCAACACUUCUGUCGGCGAUCGGCGCACGGGUGAGUAACGCGUAUGCAACCUGCCCUUCACAGGGGGAUAACCGGGAGAAAUUCCGACUAAUACCGCAUACGUCCUCCGGGGGCAUCCCCGGGGGAUGAAAGAAUUAUCGGUGAAGGAUGGGCAUGCGUGAUAUUAGGUAGUUGGCGGGG
This 247-nucleotide ribosomal RNA is filed under the name uncultured bacterium. Its description in RNAcentral is "partial 16S ribosomal RNA". It matches the Rfam family "Bacterial small subunit ribosomal RNA", at positions 16 to 257 of the family's 1533-position model. The record is from RNAcentral.